This 1811-nucleotide long non-coding RNA is filed under the name Apis mellifera (honey bee). RNAcentral's name for it is "uncharacterized LOC113219307". Lineage: Eukaryota; Metazoa; Arthropoda; Insecta; Hymenoptera; Apidae. The record is from RNAcentral.
ACAUGAUAAAAUAAAGAAGAGAAAUAAAUUCAUUCAAAAGAAGAAUAUUAAUUUGAUGAAAAAAUUGCAGAAGAUAAUGUUUUAUACUAAGAGAUAUGCACGGUUGCAGACUUACAGGCGCCAUCAAGUUCAAUAUAUAGGGUAUUAAGAAAAUUUUGAUAUUUCUUUAAUAAAAUGAAAAAAAAGAAAUAAAGAUUCACAGAUGAAAUUCAGUGUACAAAUCUUACUCCUUUAGCUAGAUCACCAAUCAAGCCAUUCCAUUGUCCAUUAGGUAAUUUCUUGCCAAAUUGUCGAUCUUCAGUCGCUGGAUCGAUUUUAGGUAUUAUCCAAGGCACUGACUAACGUACAAUUUCAACGUAUCAUUAUUAAUUAAUUAAUAAAUAAAUGUUACAAAUUCACAAUGAAAUUAAACGAAACUUAAUUACGGGAGUAAUUCCAAUUCGAAAGAAUCUUUUAGCAGCUUUAUACGUGAUCAUCCCUUUCUCUGGCCAAUACUCAAACGUAUCGUUGCCUCCCAGUUUCUGUGGCAGAAUACAUUCCUUCGAUUCUCAACGAUAUUUAUUUCAUCUCAACAUGACUUACAGCAACUAUAUUCUUGUUGAACGCCUCAAUCGUGACAUUUGAACUUUGAUUCGCGUUUGACGAGCAUUUGACACUUUUUGGCUCCACGCUGACACCCGAUGCCUGAAGUUCGCUCAUCAGGCUCACGAUGAGGCCUACCAAUCGUUUGAAAUAAUUCGAAAAUAUCUGCCAAGAACCAACGCAAGAUUAAACAAGAUUAUCACUCCAAUUGUCAUAAGUCAAAGAGGCUAUGAAAAGCUAUAGAAAAGUACUUUAACGUUUGAAGGACAAUUGCAGAGGGAUUCACCGAUUAAUCUGCAACAAACGUCCAUCUUCAUCCAUAGAACCGUGAUGGACACGUUCAACUUUCUGAAGUAAUCCUCCAUCUUGGCUGUACUGGCAUAGAUAGCGUAAUAAGACGGCGAUGGCCUCAUACUCUUGAUCUUCGACACCGUUUUCUCGGUGAAUUCGUCGAUCACGAUCAAUCUCAGGAUCGAGUUUCCGAUCAAAUAGUAGAGACUCUGAUUCAACUCUGUUAAAAAGAGGCGAUGUCGAUUUUCAAAGAAAAUUUGGGAAAAAGAAUUUAAAAAACUCGCUACCUCUUUCAUCUUCGAAGAUCAGAGCAACAUCAGUGGCGUUUUUCAACAUCAAAAGAUCAUCGAUCGCUUGGAUGAGCAGAGAUUGACCGAGUCGGCGCAGGAGAUGCGGAAGGUUUCAAGUCAGACAGCUCCGUCACGUGAAUAAUUCAACAAUAGUACAGCAACCUUUCCGUAUCGAUGUAUCGAUGAACCAAUCAAAGUUUCAUGCAAGCAUCGUGCAAUCAAUGUUUAACUCGUGUGUGUUUAAUUUCAUCUUUAUAUUGCACGAUAAAGAAGAAUAAUAAGUCUUCUAAAACGAUUUCAAAUCCUCUGUUAUCUAUUUAAAAAAAUCAUUCUGUGACAAAUGAUAGGAAAGAAGAAUAAUAAAUUCUGCGAUGAACGAUGCGAAUCGUACCAAGAAAUCAUCUAAAGAAAUUUUCUAUCUAUUUAACAAAAAAAAAUCAAGAAUUUAUUACAAUAAAAUUGAAGAAUACUUAAAUGCAUCUCAAAAGAAACUACAAGCGUGAAGAGAAGAAAAUCAAAAGUAGACAUGAUAUUUUGUACAAAAGAGUAAUACCUCGUUGAAAAAUUUUACAAAAAUCAAAUAUCGUUUCUUGAUAUCAUUUUUGAAAAAUUAUAUUAAAUCAAAAUUCAUCGUGUAGAUACUUACAC